RNAcentral lists this ribosomal RNA (904 nucleotides) under uncultured organism. RNAcentral describes it as "SSU rRNA". It matches the Rfam family "Bacterial small subunit ribosomal RNA", at positions 35 to 905 of the family's 1533-position model. The record is from RNAcentral.
GCUGGCGGCGUGCUUAACACAUGCAAGUCGAACGUAAAGAGGGAAAGAGCUUGCUCUUUCCGGAAUUGAGUGGCAAACGGGUGAGUAACACGUAAACAACCUGCCUUCAGGAUGGGGACAACAGACGGAAACGACUGCUAAUACCGAAUAAGUUCCAAGAGCCGCAUGGCCCAUGGAAGAAAAGGUGGCCUCUACCUGUAAGCUAUCGCCUGAAGAGGGGUUUGCGUCUGAUUAGCUGGUUGGAGGGGUAACGGCCCACCAAGGCGACGAUCAGUAGCCGGUCUGAGAGGAUGAACGGCCACACUGGAACUGAGACACGGUCCAGACUCCUACGGGAGGCAGCAGUGGGGAAUCUUCCGCAAUGGGCGAAAGCCUGACGGAGCAACGCCGCGUGAGUGAUGACGGCCUUCGGGUUGUAAAACUCUGUGAUCCGGGACGAAAAGGCAGAGUGCGAAGAACAAACUGCAUUGACGGUACCGGAAAAGCAAGCCACGGCUAACUACGUGCCAGCAGCCGCGGUAAUACGUAGGUGGCAAGCGUUGUCCGGAAUUAUUGGGCGUAAAGCGCGCGCAGGCGGCUUCCCAAGUCCCUCUUAAAAGUGCGGGGCUUAACCCCGUGAUGGGAAGGAAACUGGGAAGCUGGAGUAUCGGAGAGGAAAGUGGAAUUCCUAGUGUAGCGGUGAAAUGCGUAGAGAUUAGGAAGAACACCGGUGGCGAAGGCGACUUUCUGGACGAAAACUGACGCUGAGGCGCGAAAGCGUGGGGAGCAAACAGGAUUAGAUACCCUGGUAGUCCACGCCGUAAACGAUGGAUACUAGGUGUAGGAGGUAUCGACCCCUCCUGUGCCCGAGUUAACGCAAUAAGUAUCCCGCCUGGGAAGUACGAUCGCAAGAUUAAAACUCAAA